AAGUCGUAACAAGGUUUCCGUAGGUGAACCUGCGGAAGGAUCAUUAACGAGCGCUGCCUUCGGGCAACCCUCCCACCCUAUGUUAACGUACCUGUUGCUCUGGCAGCUUGCCGGAGCCUCUAAACUCUAUUAAAAUGUCGUCUGAGUAUACAAACAAAAUUUGUCAAAACUUUCAACAACGGAUCUCUUGGUUCUG
This 196-nucleotide unclassified non-coding RNA is filed under the name fungal sp. RNAcentral describes it as "partial internal transcribed spacer region". The stretch from base 1 to 46 matches the Rfam family "Eukaryotic small subunit ribosomal RNA", at positions 1786 to 1831 of the family's 1831-position model. The record is from RNAcentral. Lineage: Eukaryota; Fungi.